AAAGCACUCUCUUUUAUCUCCUUUUCUAGUUAUAUGUUAAGGGUAGUUGGUUUGAGAGUUAAGUUAGGGUUUGAAUGCUUGUGCUUUUGAUGACAUGGCCAUUCUUUUGCAAGCUGGCUUUUAGAAUCCAUGCUUGAGAACUUUGCAAUAUCCGGUCCAAAAUGUUGCAAAAAUUUGUCACCUCAGUUGCUGUUUUUUCAAGCAAGUUGAAUUUUCAAUGAUAGUGAAUAAGCACUUGCAAAAGAGCAGCAAUGGCGAUGGAUUAGGUGCCCAACGUUGUAGAAAAUGUCCAAGUAACAUAUGGAUUGAAACUUUUAGUGGUGUGAUCGUGGAAGAGGAAGAAGCAGAUCCUUUGAUUCUGGAUUUACCUUUUACUUUAGCCCUACCGAUCUAUUUUGAUUGGGCAAUAUAUUUCCUCUAAUGGCGGUGUUGUCGCUGCUGAAGAACUAGCACCAUUUCUUGAUGUGAAAACUACCGAGGACAUGGGCUUGAGCUUGCUGUAAUAUUCUCAGAUUGCUUGGAAGUGUCGCAGCCUUGCACAAACUCCAAGUGGAAGUCGAUCCAAAAACUUUUGGAUCGACAGAGGAAAUAAAUUGGAAGCCUAAUGCUGCCACUGGUGCCGUUUGCAACUGUAUCAGCGAGGAUCCAAGGCAGCCAGGCAUUGCUUAUGCAAUAGUUCCAGUUUCUUCAGCAACAUUUUUCCCAAGAUAAAAUUCUUGUGUUACGAGGCUCAUGUUUAUAUAGAUGUACAUAUAAUAUUGUUUUGAAUUAAAGAAGAUAACAUAAGAAUAAGGGCAUUCAAAUUGAAAGACAAGGAACCCUCAAUAGGGAUGGAAUAUAAGUUUUGAAAAUUUGUGGUGGCAGACAACGGGAAACCAUCCAAUCUCAUCAUUAUUGCCGUAAGGUCGCCGUUACUGGGAUUUGUGAAUCUCAUUUUAUUCAAAUACUUGGGCAACAGAGUCCUUAAAACAUCUCCUGGCGUCAUCCUAAUCCUAAACCCAAAUGAUAUCAAUGAACAAUGAAGGGGAAGUUGGCUUCCAACCUCCGCUCACAAACCAACUUGCUUAUGAGAAGAGCUCCCUUCAAAAGCAAGAUGUUGCGUGCCUUAAUGUCCUUGUUAUAUGAUAAACUUGCUAGUGAUCAUAUCAUACUAGCAUUAUUGAAAAUUUCGUGCUCUUUACUGUUAGUUAACUAAUUCAAGUUUGUCACUACAAUCUUUUCUUUAUGGUGAUCAAAUCAUUCAAGUUACUGGAAUACAGAUCGCCCCUCUUCGUAUGGUUCAUGGUUCACAUCCUAGUUGUACACUAUAUAAAUUGAAGAAAUAUUCUAUUUUCAUUAUAUUAUGUUAUGCUAUAUCAAACAAAAUUUGAAAUCAUACAUUAACCAUGGAAAAUAUAUGGAAAAAAAAAAACUAUUCUGCUUUUGUCUGAGAAUGGCCAAAUCAUAAAUAGCCAGUAGCGUGCAAGUUCCAACAUGUACUCAAAGAACAUGCAUGUAGAGGUCCUAGAGGAUAACAUGGAUCCUUCGGCCAAUAAAGGGGGUGAACGAGUGAAGAUACGACCAGCAUCCUUUGCCACUUAAAGAAUAUAUACAUACUCAAUAAAGCCUUGGCUUACUGACGUAACUAUACAAAUAAAAUUCUAAUCUUCUGCCACUCACCAAUGCCACUAUUCUAUCAUGAAAUGCUAAUAAAAAGCCAUCACAAACAGCCAAAAAAUAAAAAACCUGGAUUCUGUCCGCCAAAUCCACAGUUACACUUUCAAAAUGCAUUAGCGGUGGAGACCAAUAGUCAUGACAUGACCAGCAAAUUCAUCUUUUCAUCGUUCAUUAGCAGCUACACAUUUCCCAUCAGCAAGGUAGUAGUUGCGACCAAAAAACUUUCGGUCAGAACGCUUAGAUGCUAGCAGAUUUUAGCAGCAAUUUACCAUCUUCAAGCAAUUCUGGACACCAAUAUACC
Molecule: long non-coding RNA, 1957 nt
Organism: Populus euphratica (Euphrates poplar)
Lineage: Eukaryota; Viridiplantae; Streptophyta; Magnoliopsida; Malpighiales; Salicaceae
Exons: 3
Source: RefSeq, a predicted model, not a curated record